This 275-nucleotide ribosomal RNA is filed under the name uncultured bacterium. RNAcentral describes it as "partial 16S ribosomal RNA". It matches the Rfam family "Bacterial small subunit ribosomal RNA", at positions 79 to 354 of the family's 1533-position model. The record is from RNAcentral.
CUUUCUCCGCCGGCGACCGGCGCACGGGUGAGUAACACGUAUGCAACCUGCCCCUGUCAGGGGGACAACCCGCCGAAAGGCGGGCUAAACCCGCGUAUAUGCACCGGGGCAUCCCGGAGGCAGGAAAGGCUUCGGCCGGACAGGGAUGGGCAUGCGGCGCAUUAGGCAGUAGGCGGGGUAACGGCCCACCUAACCGACGAUGCGUAGGGGUUCUGAGAGGAAGGUCCCCCACACUGGUACUGAGACACGGACCAGACUCCUACGGGAGGCAGCAG